Long non-coding RNA from Mastomys coucha (southern multimammate mouse), 516 nucleotides. RefSeq lists it as uncharacterized. NCBI's taxonomy places the organism in Eukaryota, Metazoa, Chordata, Mammalia, Rodentia, Muridae. The record is from RefSeq and is a predicted model, not a curated record. The transcript is spliced from 2 exons.
UGCCCGCCCACCUCCACGUGGCGGCCCAAUCCGAAUGCGCCCGCCAGGCCACGCCCCUGGCUCCUCCUCCACGCCCGGAGGCAAGACACAAACAAGCGGCCUGCUGCAGCCCCUCACAAAGAGAGCACGUUGCGCAGGCGCGUCCAACGGGUUCUUCGGUAGAGUGUCCCAUGAACAAUGAAGUUCGACUUGUGCCUCACCUCCCUUGCAGCAAUCCCUUGGGGUAGCCUGGGGGUGGGGCAGGGUAGGAAGAGGAGAGAGGCGGUGGAGGAACUAGGAAGCUGCUGACCUCAAGAAAGGACUGCUUUAUACUGCCAGGCAUGCUUUCCCAGACACUCUGGGAGUUCACUCUCCUCUGAAGCUGUCUGCCUCUUUCUGCUCUGUGGCCGCUUACAAAAAGACAUUUUUGUCUCCUUCUUUACCCUUCUCUCUCUAGGCAGCUGCUGAGAUUCACACCAAGCCUGCUUACGGUCUUUGGAAAACACAAAACUCUAAUAAACUUAAUUCUCAAGCUUC